Molecule: ribosomal RNA, 253 nt
Filed under: uncultured microorganism
Description: partial 16S ribosomal RNA
Rfam family: Bacterial small subunit ribosomal RNA
Source: RNAcentral
UACGUAGGGUGCGAGCGUUAAUCGGAUUUACUGGGCGUAAAGCGUGCGCAGGCGGCCCGUUAAGACAGGUGUGAAAUCCCUGGGCUCAACCUAGGAAUUGCGCUUGUGACUGGCGGGCUCGAGUACGGUAGAGGGGGGUGGAAUUCCUGGUGUAGCAGUGAAAUGCGUAGAGAUCAGGAGGAACACCGAUGGCGAAGGCAGCCCCCUGGGCCUGUACUGACGCUGAGGUGCGAGAGCGUGGGGAGCAAACAGG